ACCAGACACUCUACCACCCAAAACCCUCCCUUUCCUUUCUCCCGUGACCGUAACCCUCGCGUUUUAGUCGCGGCUAGAUUUAGGAAGACAGCGACGGGAUUCCGGCGUACAGAGACAUCCGAAACUCACAUCUUUGUUGUUCUUUCGUCCACUUCUGCCGGAAACCAUUGAGGAAGGUAACCGUAGUCUUUCUACCCUUCCUCCAACCUCCCUUCGCGCGCUUCAGCUCGUCUAAAUGCCUUAAAUCCAUCUUCCAAAGGGAUUUACUGUACCGGGAUUUAAGGCCAAAAUGAGGAGAAACGGGAUUUCAGAUCUCUAGACAUCUUGAGGAGCAAGGUAGAAUUCUUCUGGAAGCAUAUAGAGCAAUGUCCCAUGAAUUGCAUAAUCUUCAUAGCCCAAGCCGACUCACAAGUGGGCUUGGCUUAGCUGCACCCCUACCUCUGUCUUCCACUUUUGAGGUCAAAGGCAAUACCACUCAACCUAUCGUUCUUUGGUCGAGGAAGAAAUGCUUAUGCGCAAGCUUUACGAGCACAUGUUAGCUGAAGGCUUGGUCAAAAAGAAGCAAGGAGAACCGC
Phalaenopsis equestris is the source of this 575-nucleotide long non-coding RNA. RefSeq lists it as uncharacterized. The transcript is spliced from 5 exons. The record is from RefSeq and is a predicted model, not a curated record. NCBI's taxonomy places the organism in Eukaryota, Viridiplantae, Streptophyta, Magnoliopsida, Asparagales, Orchidaceae.